AUCCGACGAGUGAGUCAAAAAUUUAAUAAAUUAAUACCUAUGAGUCAAAUGUGAAUAUAGAAGUAUUUUUGAAUUAGUGAAUUUGGUGAUUUAAAAGAAUUAAUUAGGUAAAUUGGGUCGAGAAUGAGGUAUCGAGACCUCGACUUCAUAAACCAAGCCAUAAAUAUUUUUAGAAAUAUUUAUGGAGUGCUAGUGAGGUAGUAUUAAAAUUUC
Molecule: long non-coding RNA, 213 nt
Filed under: Gossypium barbadense (sea-island cotton)
Lineage: Eukaryota; Viridiplantae; Streptophyta; Magnoliopsida; Malvales; Malvaceae
Description: long non-coding RNA (GBAR_LNC006555)
Source: RNAcentral